This 90-nucleotide transfer RNA is filed under the name Candidatus Nomurabacteria bacterium. RNAcentral describes it as "tRNA-Ser". It matches the Rfam family "tRNA". From Rfam's summary of the family: Transfer RNA (tRNA) molecules are approximately 80 nucleotides in length. RNAcentral also lists the same sequence under 1 other name. The record is from RNAcentral. Lineage: Bacteria; Candidatus Nomuraibacteriota.
GGAGAGAUGCCUGAGCGGUCGAAAGGGACGGUCUUGAAAACCGUUGUACGCGCAAGCGUACCCAGGGUUCGAAUCCCUGUCUCUCCGCCA